RNAcentral lists this long non-coding RNA (1086 nucleotides) under Anolis carolinensis (green anole). Its description in RNAcentral is "lncRNA (ENSACAG00000036381.1)". The record is from RNAcentral. Lineage: Eukaryota; Metazoa; Chordata; Lepidosauria; Squamata; Anolidae.
AUGGAUAUGCAGAGUCAUACUGUGUCUGAAGCUCUUUCCACAUUCCAUGCAGGUAUGUGGCUUCUCCCCAGUGUGCGUUCUUUGAUGGAUACGCAGAUUUGUAAUCUGAUGGAAGCUCUUUCCACAUUCCAUGCAUUUAUGUUGCUUCUCCGCUGUGUGGGUCUUUUGAUGGGAAUGCAGAUGUCCACUCUGACUGAAGCUCUUUCCACAUUCCAUGCAUUUAUGUGGCUUCUCCCCUGUGUGGGUCCUUUGAUGGAUACGCAGACUCGCACUGUGACUGAAGCUCUUUCCACAUUCCAUGCAUUUAUGUGGCUUCUCCUUUGUAUGGAUCCUUUGAUGGGUAUGCAGACUCGCACUCUGACUGAAGCCCUUUCCACAUUCCAUGCAUUUAUGUGGUUUCUCCCCUGUGUGGGUCCUUUGAUGGGAACGCAAAUUUCCACUCUGACUGAAACUCUUUCCACAAUCCAUGCACUUAUGUGGCUUCUCCCUGGUAUGGGUCCUUUGAUGGGCACGCAGUUGUCCACUGUGGAUGAAGCUCUUUCCACAUUCCAUGCAUGUAUGUGGCUUCACCCCUGUAUGGAUCUUUUGAUGGGUACGCAGACUCUCACGGUGACUGAAGCUCUUUCCACAUUCCAUGCAUGUAUGUGGCCUCUCCCCUGUAUGGAUCCUUUGAUGGGUGUGCAGAUGUCCACUCUGACUGAAGCUCUUUCCACAUUCCAUGCAUGUAUGUGGCUUCUCUCCUGUAUGGGUCCUUUGAUGGUUACGCAGACCCGUACUCUGACUGAAGCCCUUUCCACAUUCUAUGCAUUUAUGUGGCUUCUCCCCUGUGUGGGUCCUUUGAUGGGUAUGGAGAUCUCCACUCUGAUUGAAACUUUUUCCACAUUCCAUGCAUUUAUGUGGUUUCUCCCCGGUAUGGGUCCUCUGAUGGAUAUGCAGAUGUCCACUCUGACUGAAGCUCUUUCCACAUUCCACACAUUUAUGUGGCUUCUCUCCUGUGUGAGUUCGUUGAUGUUGAGUAAGAGAACUCCUCCCGAUGAAACAUUUCCCACAGUCCAUACAAUCGUGUCGCUUCUCCCCUGUGUGUGA